RNAcentral lists this ribosomal RNA (254 nucleotides) under uncultured bacterium. Its description in RNAcentral is "partial 16S ribosomal RNA". It matches the Rfam family "Bacterial small subunit ribosomal RNA", at positions 524 to 776 of the family's 1533-position model. The record is from RNAcentral.
UACGUAGGGGGCAAGCGUUGUCCGGAAUCAUUGGGCGUAAAGAGCGUGUAGGCGGCUCGAUAAGUCCGCUGUGAAAGUCCAGGGCUCAACCCUGGAAGGCCGGUGGAAACUGUCGGGCUAGAGUCCGGAAGAGGCGAGUGGAAUUCCCGGUGUAGCGGUGAAAUGCGCAGAUAUCGGGAGGAACACCAAUGGCGAAGGCAGCUCGCUGGGACGGUACUGACGCUGACGACGCGAAAGCGUGGGGAGCAAACAGG